GAUCCUGGCUCAGGAUGAACGCUAGCUACAGGCUUAACACAUGCAAGUCGAGGGGGCAGCAUUUUUAAUUUUGCUUGCAAACUAAAAGAUGGCGACCGGCGCACGGGUGAGUAACACGUAUCCAACCUGCCGAUAACUCAGGGAUAGCCUUUCGAAAGAAAGAUUAAUACCUGAUGGCAUAGGAUUAUCGCAUGAUAAUCCUAUUAAAGAAUUUCGGUUAUCGAUGGGGAUGCGUUCCAUUAGG
RNAcentral lists this ribosomal RNA (244 nucleotides) under uncultured bacterium. RNAcentral's name for it is "partial 16S ribosomal RNA". It matches the Rfam family "Bacterial small subunit ribosomal RNA", at positions 15 to 245 of the family's 1533-position model. The record is from RNAcentral.